UACGGGGGGGGCAAGCGUUGUUCGGAAUUACUGGGCGUAAAGGGCGCGUAGGCGGCUCGCUAAGUCGGAUGUGAAAACUCUGGGCUCAACCCAGAGCCUGCAUCCGAAACUGGUGGGCUAGGGUGCUGGAGGGGAAAGCGGAAUUCCUGGUGUAGCGGUGAAAUGCGUAGAUAUCAGGAGGAACACCGGUGGCGAAGGCGGCUUCCUGGACCAACACUGACACUGAGGAGCGAAAGCCAGGGGAGCAAACGGG
RNAcentral lists this ribosomal RNA (253 nucleotides) under uncultured bacterium. RNAcentral describes it as "partial 16S ribosomal RNA". It matches the Rfam family "Bacterial small subunit ribosomal RNA", at positions 524 to 776 of the family's 1533-position model. The record is from RNAcentral.